RNAcentral lists this long non-coding RNA (415 nucleotides) under Dermacentor andersoni. RNAcentral's name for it is "uncharacterized LOC126530142". The record is from RNAcentral. Lineage: Eukaryota; Metazoa; Arthropoda; Arachnida; Ixodida; Ixodidae.
UCAGCAAAGCUUCGUCACCUGGCCGUAUGACACGUGCUGCUCGAGGCCUGUGACGUAACCUGGACAAUAAUUUCCACUGGCUCUUCAAGGAGAAGACUACCACAAAAGCGGUGAGCGCUCCCGCUAAAGGCCUGUUCUACAUCAAGUUUCUUCGGCUUAACAUAGCUGAUCACCUAGCUCGUCAUAUCGGCAAAGCUUCGUCACCUGGCCGUAUGACACGUGCUGCUGGAGGCCUGUGACGUAACGUGGACAAUAAUUUCCACUGGCUCUUCAAGGAGAAGACUACUACAAAAGCGGCGAGCGCUCCCGCUCAAGGCCUGUUCUACAUCAAGUUUCUUCGGCUUAACAUAGCUGAUCACCUAGCUCGUCAUAUCAGCAAAGCUUCGUCACCUGGCCGUAUGACACGUGCUGCUGG